UCCGUAGGGUGAACCUGCGGAAGGAUCAUUAUUGAAUAAACUUGGUCGGGUUGCUGCUGGCUCUUAGGAGCAUUGUGCACGCCUGCCACCAUUUUUACAACCACCUGUGCACCGUUUUGUAGACUUUGGAUACCUCUCGAUUACAAGGAAUCUUUUUUCCUUGCUUCGGAUUUGAGGGUUGCUUAUUAGCUUAAGCUUCCCUUUGCAUUUCCGGUCUAUGUCUUACAUUUACACCCCAUAAGCAUGUUACAGAAUGUCAUUAGUGGGCCUUUGUUUGCCUAUAAAACCUAAUACAACUUUCAACAACGGAUCUCUUGGCUCUCGCAUCGAUGAAGAACGCAGCGAAAUGCGAUAAGUAAUGUGAAUUGCAGAAUUCAGUGAAUCAUCGAAUCUUUGAACGCACCUUGCGCUCCUUGGUAUUCCGAGGAGCAUGCCUGUUUGAGUGUCAUUAAAUUCUCAACCUUUCCAGCUUUUACUAGCUUGGUCUGGCUUGGAUGUGGGGGUUUGCGGGCUCUCUUUCCAAAGAGUGGUCGGCUCUCCUUAAAUGCAUUAGCGGAGCCCUUGUGGCCUCAAAGCUAACUCAGGUGUGAUAGACUAUCUAUGCCUUUAUUAGCUCUUGGGGACGCAGCUUUACAUGGGGCUCAGCUUCUAACCGUCCAUUGACUUGGACAAACUUACAAAAAUGACCUUUUGACCUCAAAUCAGGUAGGACUACCCGCUGAACUUAAGCAUAUCAAUAAGCGGAGGA
Molecule: ribosomal RNA, 748 nt
Filed under: Dendrocollybia racemosa
Lineage: Eukaryota; Fungi; Basidiomycota; Agaricomycetes; Agaricales
Description: eukaryotic LSU rRNA
Rfam family: 5.8S ribosomal RNA (bases 295-448)
Source: RNAcentral